This 497-nucleotide ribosomal RNA is filed under the name uncultured bacterium. RNAcentral describes it as "partial 16S ribosomal RNA". It matches the Rfam family "Bacterial small subunit ribosomal RNA", at positions 28 to 507 of the family's 1533-position model. The record is from RNAcentral.
GAUGAACGCUGGCGGCGUGCCUAAUACAUGCAAGUCGAGCGGACAGACGAGGAGCUUGCUCCUCUGACGUUAGCGGCGGACGGGUGAGUAACACGUGGAUAACCUACCUAUAAGACUGGGAUAACUUCGGGAAACCGGAGCUAAUACCGGAUAAUAUAUUGAACCGCAUGGUUCAAUAGUUAAAGACGGUUUUGCUGUCACUUAUAGAUGGAUCCGCGCCGCAUUAGCUAGUUGGUAAGGUAACGGCUUACCAAGGCGACGAUGCGUAGCCGACCUGAGAGGGUGAUCGGCCACACUGGAACUGAGACACGGUCCAGACUCCUACGGGAGGCAGCAGUAGGGAAUCUUCCGCAAUGGGCGAAAGCCUGACGGAGCAACGCCGCGUGAGUGAUGAAGGUCUUCGGAUCGUAAAACUCUGUUAUUAGGGAAGAACAAAUGUGUAAGUAACUAUGCACGUCUUGACGGUACCUAAUCAGAAAGCCACGGCUAACUACGUG